Marmota flaviventris (yellow-bellied marmot) is the source of this 633-nucleotide long non-coding RNA. RefSeq lists it as uncharacterized. NCBI's taxonomy places the organism in Eukaryota, Metazoa, Chordata, Mammalia, Rodentia, Sciuridae. The record is from RefSeq and is a predicted model, not a curated record.
CCUCCCGGGCGCCCACUGGGGCGGCCAGCUCGGGGUGCGGAGCCGGCGGAGCGAUCCGACCGUGUCCAUUUGUGGCUGGAUCUGGUUUCUGUCCUCCGCACACAGAGAAACGCGCUGCUGUGUCCCCAGGGUCCUCCCAGUCCAGGGCUCCACGGGACCUCGGCCUCGUUGUCCAGACUGAAGCCUGACACCUGAAGACGCAUUUCCAUUUGGGGUGAUCUGUGGGUUCUGGAGCAAAGAGAAGGAAGUGGGAAGAAGGACGGGGAGGGAGGCGGCACUGGGAGGCAGAGCCCCGGGCAGGGAGUUGGUCUUUUUCAAAUCAAAAGCCUGUUGGCAGCUCCAACAGCACAGCCCCUUCCCGGGACUGAGGCAGGGUGUUUAUUUAUCCUCCAAGUCUUUAAAAAGUUCUUUAUUUUAUUGCAAAAGCAAUACGCACUCGUUGUUUGAAACCAAACAUCACAGAACUGUAUAAACUGAGAUCCCUGCCGCCCUCCCCCUCUCCGCCUUGGCUGUCUGUGGUGUUUUUUCUUUUAGAUAUUUUCCACUUCAAAGUCCCCCUACAAAAAAACCCCAAAACUUUUCCCCCUCUUUGUAGCUACAGGAUACAGUGAAAAGUAAAAUGUGUCCUGGGCA